CCUACGGGCGGCAGCAGUGAGGAAUAUUGGUCCAUGGGCGAGAGCCUGAACCAGCCAAGUCGCGUGAGGGAGUACUGCCCUAUGGGUUGUAAACCUCUUUUGUCGGGGAGCAAAAGCCGGACGUGUCCGGCUGUGAGAGUACCCGAAGAAAAAGCAUCGGCUAACUCCGUGCCAGCAGCCGCGGUAAUACGGAGGAUGCGAGCGUUAUCCGGAUUUAUUGGGUUUAAAGGGUGCGCAGGCGGAUUGUUAAGUCAGCGGUAAAAUCGUGGGGCUCAACCCCAUCCAGCCGUUGAAACUGGGGAUCUAGAGUGUGCGAGAGGUAUGCGGAAUGCGUGGUGUAGCGGUGAAAUGCAUAGAUAUCACGCAGAACCCCGAUUGCGAAGGCAGCAUACCGGUGCACAACUGACGCUCAGGCACGAAAGCGUGGGUAUCGAACAGGAUUAGAUACCCCGGUAGUC
Molecule: ribosomal RNA, 458 nt
Filed under: uncultured bacterium
Lineage: Bacteria
Description: partial 16S ribosomal RNA
Rfam family: Bacterial small subunit ribosomal RNA
Source: RNAcentral